This 86-nucleotide transfer RNA is filed under the name Pseudomonadota bacterium. RNAcentral's name for it is "Proteobacteria bacterium tRNA-Tyr". It matches the Rfam family "tRNA". Rfam says of the family: Transfer RNA (tRNA) molecules are approximately 80 nucleotides in length. Their secondary structure includes four short double-helical elements and three loops (D, anti-codon, and T loops). Lineage: Bacteria; Pseudomonadati; Pseudomonadota. The record is from RNAcentral.
GGAGAGGUUCCCGAGCGGCCAAAGGGGUCAGACUGUAAAUCUGAUGGCUAUUGUCUUCGAAGGUUCGAAUCCUUCUCUCUCCACCA